UACGUAGGGGGCUAGCGUUGUCCGGAAUCAUUGGGCGUAAAGCGCGUGUAGGCGGUCCGGUAAGUCCGCUGUGAAAGUCGGGGGCUCAACCCUCGGAUGCCGGUGGAUACUGUCGGGCUUGAGUACGGAAGAGGCGAGUGGAAUUCCUGGUGUAGCGGUGAAAUGCGUAGAUAGUCAGGAGGAAUACCGAUGGCGAAGGCAGGUCUCUGGGCUGAAACUGACGCUCAUGCACGAAAGCGUGGGGAGCAAACAGGA
This 255-nucleotide ribosomal RNA is filed under the name uncultured bacterium. RNAcentral describes it as "partial 16S ribosomal RNA". It matches the Rfam family "Bacterial small subunit ribosomal RNA", at positions 524 to 777 of the family's 1533-position model. The record is from RNAcentral.